CACGUAGGGUGCGAGCGUUGUCCGGAAUUAUUGGGCGUAAAGAGCUCGUAGGCGGUGUGCCGCGUCGGCCGUGAAAACCUGCAGCUUAACUGUGGGCUUGCGGUCGAUACGGGCAUCACUGGAGUUCGGCAGGGGAGACUGGAAUUCCUGGUGUAGCGGUGAAAUGCGCAGAUAUCAGGAGGAACACCGGUGGCGAAGGCGGGUCUCUGGGCCACUACUGACGCUGAGAAGCGAAAGCAUGGGGAGCGAACAGG
This 254-nucleotide ribosomal RNA is filed under the name uncultured bacterium. RNAcentral's name for it is "partial 16S ribosomal RNA". It matches the Rfam family "Bacterial small subunit ribosomal RNA", at positions 524 to 776 of the family's 1533-position model. The record is from RNAcentral.